UACGGAGGUGGCAAGCGUUGCUCGGAAUCACUGGGCGUAAAGGGCGCGUAGGCGGGGAGGUAAGUCGGGUGUGAAAUCCCUCGGCCCAACUGAGGAACUGCGCCCGAGACUGCCUCUCUUGAGUCCCGGAGAGGAAGAUGGAAUUCCCGGUGUAGCGGUGAAAUGUGUAGAGAUCGGGAGGAACACCGGUGGCGAAGGCGGUCUUCUGGACGGUGACUGACGCUGAGGCGCGAAAGCGUGGGGAGCAAACGGG
RNAcentral lists this ribosomal RNA (253 nucleotides) under uncultured bacterium. RNAcentral's name for it is "partial 16S ribosomal RNA". It matches the Rfam family "Bacterial small subunit ribosomal RNA", at positions 524 to 776 of the family's 1533-position model. The record is from RNAcentral.